This is a long non-coding RNA of Helianthus annuus (common sunflower), 3481 nucleotides long. RefSeq lists it as uncharacterized. The transcript has 4 exons. The record is from RefSeq and is a predicted model, not a curated record. Lineage: Eukaryota; Viridiplantae; Streptophyta; Magnoliopsida; Asterales; Asteraceae.
ACUAUAAUUUUGCAACAUGUUUAUGCAUAUACAUGUUGUACUCUUUGCAUAAAUGGUGUUUUGCGCAGUAGGUAUAUGUACCUUAGGUUUUUUUGUUUGUAACUUUUGCUGCUGAAGACAUGUGUCUCUGAGGUGUACGUGUCCCAAAUCAUACAUACAUAUCUUCUUUCUUCUCCUCCUGGUUACCACAAUUCCACCACCAUAAUCAGAUGGCAAAGAAACCGGCAGCGAAGUAGGGAAGAAACCGACGUGCAUACCUGGUUGUUUAAUUUCAGUUCUCUUGCAAAUACCUGGAUAACCCACCAAGAAACCAGGUUUAGGUUUGCGCUUUUAAGUUCGAAAUUCACCUUUAGAUGUUUAGUAAUUAGGGUUUUGAUGCUAAUGUCGAUGGUUUUUUGUGGUGAUGCCAUUGUUACGUAUCAUUUUUGUAGUGUUUGCUGUUGAUGUUUAUUUUCUCGAACAAUAUUUAAACUUUGUCGCACAGGGUAUUUGAGCAUCUUGCCGCCUCCGACGAUGGCCGUUAGGGUUCCGGCAACAUUCUGGUCAAUCUCCAAAUGGCUGACUUCACUGCAGGUACUUUUCGAAGCCGCCCUUCGAGCAACCAAGUCGGGCGAUUCCAACGGUGGUUUUGAGUUCACGGACAAGCUCGGUUCAUCUGACGAAGAGACACGACAAAUCAGGAAGAGGCUACCCGCUUCGAUAUCAAAUUGUUCAGCUUAAUACAAAACCUAGCUUCCGCAUUGGGUAGGUAGUGGAAAAGAAGCUAAGAAAUCAGUGUACUCGAUAUCUGCAAAGUAUUAAUAUGCUUUCAGUUGCAAGAUCCAUGGAAAUGUGAUUCAUAGACGCAAAUCCAUGUCCAAUGUUAGAUCGAUUUUGGCGGAUUCUCAUAUUUCUUUUGGCAACAAUGAUUACAGAGGUAUGUGUUCAUUAUGCUUUAACCUUCAUCAAGGUUGUUAUUUAUCGUGCUUUAAGUUCUCUUCUUUAAUAGGACUGUUAACUCAUGAUUUUUUAAAGAAGGUAGCCACUAUUUGCUAUAUACAAGUCAUUUUUUAAAGUUUAAUAACUUUUGGAACAACAUAUUUUUAUGCGCGGCCAUUCAGUCCACAGAUUUGUCAAAAGCCGAACCAAGAUUGAAUGCGUUUGAUGCAAAAAGAGUUUAUAAAGAAAAUAAAAAAUGUAAUGUUUGACUUUUGUGGGUCAAAAUUUACACAAUGUUUGUUUAAUCUAAAUAUAUUUCAUGAAUUUGUUAUUUAUAGCUUUCAUAUAAGAUUAGAGCUAAAAUAUUGUUGGUAACCGGGGUUGUAUCAAUAUUAAAUAUUACCUAGCCUGACCCGUUUCGACCUCUAUAGACUUUUUUUUAGACUGAUCAAUGACAUAUAUGCAUAAGGUGUGAAUUUCUGAUGCUACAUAAAGAAUGGUUACGAACCUAACACGAAAUUCACGGGUUUAGGUCAACCUGACAAGUUUGUGGGUUCACCCGUUUUACAUUUUAUACUUUAAGCGUAAUUAUAUUUUAAACAUUUCUAUUCUUUCUUAAAUUUGUAAUCUAAGAGUAUUAAUGUGCAACCACUAACUUUGCCUUUUCUUUUAAACAAAAAAAAUGCAGAUAUGUUUUAUUGCUAUCAUACACAAUGUUUAGGUCUAUAAAAUAGUUAUUGAAUUAAUAAAGAGUUAAUAUAAUUGUCUGAAAUAGUGCAGACACCAUAUAGAUAACUAUCAUAUAUGUAACACCAUCUACAAGAUAAAACUAUGUUCAACUUAUGACGCAAUAAGUUUAGAUUUCGACUCAAUGGCUAUAAAAAAAUCAUAGGAUUAAGAUUAAAAGCAUGGGUCCAUGGCCAUAAAAAAAUCAUAGGAUUAAGAUUAAAAGCAUGGGCGUAGGAUCAUAGGGUGGGGAGGGGGCGGCCGACCCCGAAAUUUUCGUUCAAUAGUGGGGAGUAUGUAGUUUUUGUAUAGAAAUUUUUGGGUAUAUACAUUUUUGACCCCCUGGUUUUAUAGAAAUAUUUUGGUAUAUACGUUUUCGACACAUCCGGUCGGAAAUCUCAAACUUCGCCAAUAUGUGAAUUGGUAAUUUUACUUGGGUUCUCUUCUUUCAAUUUAUGGGGUCCCUAAAGUUUCAAGCUUUCGUGGCUUUACUUUUUUCAAUUUUCUUAAUUGUUUAGCAAUUAUAUUUUUAUAGUAUAUCAUUCGUUUUAUGAAAUCAAAGCAGAGUAUACAUGUAGUAAUACUUCAUUGUUACGUUGAUCAAAUCCAGUUGUGUGUUAUUCUUGGUUUUAAAAAGUGCGAAGCGCACAAAAGCAACGAGGUCUAAAACUGAGGCGCAAAGCGCAAAAGCGGUGGGCUUUUUGUACGCGAGGUGCAAGGCGAUUAUAUAAUUUUUUUAUAUAUUCUAUAGGUUUCUAGGAACAUUUACCCAAUAUUUAGACACAAAUAAGCUCUAUAUAUGUUUUAUUAUUGAAUUUACAUACAUGUAUAACCUGAAAAACAUGAUGUACCACAAUCUGCUACACAAAUACAUGGUCUGUGCAUAAGGCGCGCGCCUCAGAUUGGAUUUUUAACCCAAAAAGCGCGCCUCAGCUGUGCUUUCUGUACAGCUUGCGCCUUAGGUUACAUAAGGCGCCGAGGUUUCACCUCGGUGCGUCUCACGCCGAGGCGCGCCUCAAGCGUGCUUUUUUAAACCAAGGCUAUUUAUAUGUAAUAUUACCGAUGUGGUUGGAAGCCCUUACUAUGUUACACCAGAGGUUUUAUGCAAUGGUCGAUAUCUAAUCUGUUGUGUGAAUCUGUCAAAGCUAACGACGGUUCCUACCGGUGACGCAUCGAUUCAUCCAGGUCCGGCGUGUAUCCCUGACCAUCCCGUACCGGCUACAAUCCAUUUAUAAGUAAAUGGGUCAAAAAAAUUAGUUUUAGCGUUGGCUGAAUCUCUUUGGUAACAUCUUUAAGAUAUAAUUAUUUUUAUAUUACACAUGAAAGGAUUCAAGGCAAAAAAAGGUUAUUAAAAAUAAUGUACCUCCAUACUGAGAUUGUUUUUGUAUUCAUAUUUUCUGCAGAUUUGCAAGGCACAUACAUAAUUGCCAUGUAAGAUUUUUUUAAACCUAAAACCCUUUUUUAUUUACUACAUGAUUGAAGUUUUAACACAUACAUAAUGCAUAGCUCUUAGAUAGCAUCAUGAUUAUGAUAGUGGGAUCAAUUACAUGUCUUUUAACAGUUCAAAAUGAUACAUGUGCUUGUCGUUAUGUAUGUGACUGAAUUUUUCGAACAUCAGUGUCAAUAAGACUAGAUUUGAUUUCUAAUCAAUUUUUUAUGUUCCUUCUAAUGAAGGCAUUGGUGACAACUUGAUAAGGAAAAUAAAUCUAGAUUCUAGACCGAAGAGGAAUUCAUUUGGAUUUUAUAAAAUCUCAACACUUCAACUGGAUGGCAAUUUGGUAUCAAUCAUGGGAUGGUUGCUUUGUUUUUUACACAUUAACUUACUUUCAGCACUUAC